RNAcentral lists this non-coding RNA (30 nucleotides) under Mus musculus (house mouse). The record is from RNAcentral. Lineage: Eukaryota; Metazoa; Chordata; Mammalia; Rodentia; Muridae.
UGGAUGUCACUUCAGAUUGCUUCUGCUGUU